This 347-nucleotide ribosomal RNA is filed under the name uncultured fungus. RNAcentral's name for it is "SSU rRNA". It matches the Rfam family "Eukaryotic small subunit ribosomal RNA", at positions 20 to 370 of the family's 1831-position model. The record is from RNAcentral. Lineage: Eukaryota; Fungi.
GUAGUCAUAUGCUUGUCUCAAAGAUUAAGCCAUGCAUGUCUAAGUAUAAGCAAUUUAUACGGUGAAACUGCGAAUGGCUCAUUAAAUCAGUUAUAGUUUAUUUGAUAGUACCUUACUACAUGGAUACCUGUGGUAAUUCUAGAGCUAAUACAUGCUAAAAACCCCGACUUCGGAAGGGGUGUAUUUAUUAGAUAAAAAACCAACGCCCUUCGGGGCUCCUUGGUGAAUCAUGAUAACUUAACGAAUCGCAUGGCCUUGCGCCGGCGAUGGUUCAUUCAAAUUUCUGCCCUAUCAACUUUCGAUGGUAGGAUAGUGGCCUACCAUGGUGGCAACGGGUAACGGGGAAU